RNAcentral lists this ribosomal RNA (256 nucleotides) under uncultured bacterium. Its description in RNAcentral is "partial 16S ribosomal RNA". It matches the Rfam family "Bacterial small subunit ribosomal RNA", at positions 96 to 353 of the family's 1533-position model. The record is from RNAcentral.
UGGCGGACGGGUGAAUAAUGUCUGGGAAACUGCCUGAUGGAGGGGGAUAACUACUGGAAACGGUAGCUAAUACCGCAUAACGUCGCAAGACCAAAGAGGGGGACCUUCGGGCCUCUUGCCAUCGGAUGUGCCCAGAUGGGAUUAGCUAGUAGGUGGGGUAACGGCUCACCUAGGCGACGAUCCCUAGCUGGUCUGAGAGGAUGACCAGCCACACUGGAACUGAGACACGGUCCAGACUCCUACGGGAGGCAGCAUG